GACGAACGCUGGCGGCGUGCUUAACACAUGCAAGUCGAACGGAAAGGCCCUGCUUUUGUGGGGUGCUCGAGUGGCGAACGGGUGAGUAACACGUGAGUAACCUGCCCUUGACUUUGGGAUAACUUCAGGAAACUGGGGCUAAUACCGGAUAGGAGCUCCUGCUGCAUGGUGGGGGUUGGAAAGUUUCGGCGGUUGGGGAUGGACUCGCGGCUUAUCAGCUUGUUGGUGGGGUAGUGGCUUACCAAGGCUUUGACGGGUAGCCGGCCUGAGAGGGUGACCGGCCACAAUGGGACUGAGAUACGGCCCAGACUCGUACGGGAGGCAGCAGGGGGGAAUAUUACACAAUGGGCGGAAGCCUGAUGCAGCAACGCCGCGUGCGGGAUGACGGCCUUCGGGUUGUAAACCGCUUUCGCCUGUGACGAAGCGUGAGUGACGGUAAUGGGUAAAGAAGCACCGGCUAACUACGUG
Molecule: ribosomal RNA, 468 nt
Filed under: uncultured bacterium
Lineage: Bacteria
Description: partial 16S ribosomal RNA
Rfam family: Bacterial small subunit ribosomal RNA
Source: RNAcentral